RNAcentral lists this ribosomal RNA (450 nucleotides) under uncultured bacterium. RNAcentral's name for it is "bacterial SSU rRNA". It matches the Rfam family "Bacterial small subunit ribosomal RNA", at positions 354 to 796 of the family's 1533-position model. The record is from RNAcentral.
GUGGGGAAUAUUGGACAAUGGGCGAAAGCCUGAUCCAGCCAUGCCGCGUGUGUGAAGAAGGUCUUCGGAUUGUAAAGCACUUUAAGUUGGGAGGAAGGGCAGUAAGUUAAUACCUUGCUGUUUUGACGUUACCGACAGAAUAAGCACCGGCUAACUUCGUGCCAGCUGCCGCGGUAAUACGAAGGGUGCAAGCGUUAAUCGGAAUUACUGGGCGUACAGCGCGCGUAGGUGGUUUUGUAAGUUGGAGGUGAAAUCCCCGGGCUCAACCUGGGAACUGCCUCCAAAACUGCAUGACUAGAGUACGGUAGAGGGUAGUGGAAUUUCGUGUGUAGCGGUGAAAUGCGUAGAUAUAGGAAGGAACACCAGUGGCGAAGGCGACUACCUGGACUGAUACUGACACUGAGGUGCGAAAGCGUGGGGGGCAAACAGGAUUAGAUACCCUUAUAGUCC